Molecule: ribosomal RNA, 586 nt
Filed under: Saccharomyces cerevisiae (brewer's yeast)
Lineage: Eukaryota; Fungi; Ascomycota; Saccharomycetes; Saccharomycetales; Saccharomycetaceae
Description: partial large subunit ribosomal RNA
Rfam family: Eukaryotic large subunit ribosomal RNA
Source: RNAcentral
GUUUUUGCGUUAGCUACGGCGAGUGAAGCGGCAAAAGCUCAAAUUUGAAAUCUGGUACCUUCGGUGCCCGAGUUGUAAUUUGGAGAGGGCAACUUUGGGGCCGUUCCUUGUCUAUGUUCCUUGGAACAGGACGUCAUAGAGGGUGAGAAUCCCGUGUGGCGAGGAGUGCGGUUCUUUGUAAAGUGCCUUCGAAGAGUCGAGUUGUUUGGGAAUGCAGCUCUAAGUGGGUGGUAAAUUCCAUCUAAAGCUAAAUAUUGGCGAGAGACCGAUAGCGAACAAGUACAGUGAUGGAAAGAUGAAAAGAACUUUGAAAAGAGAGUGAAAAAGUACGUGAAAUUGUUGAAAGGGAAGGGCAUUUGAUCAGACAUGGUGUUUUGUGCCCUCUGCUCCUUGUGGGUAGGGGAAUCUCGCAUUUCACUGGGCCAGCAUCAGUUUUGGUGGCAGGAUAAAUCCAUAGGAAUGUAGCUUGCCUCGGUAAGUAUUAUAGCCUGUGGGAAUACUGCCAGCUGGGACUGAGGACUGCGACGUAAGUCAAGGAUGCUGGCAUAAUGGUUAUAUGCCGCCCGUCUUGAAACACGGACCAAUG